This 253-nucleotide ribosomal RNA is filed under the name uncultured bacterium. RNAcentral's name for it is "partial 16S ribosomal RNA". It matches the Rfam family "Bacterial small subunit ribosomal RNA", at positions 524 to 776 of the family's 1533-position model. The record is from RNAcentral.
UACGUAGGGUGCAAGCGUUAAUCGGAAUUACUGGGCGUAAAGCGUGCGCAGGCGGUUUUGUAAGACAGAGGUGAAAUCUCCGGGCUCAACCUGGAGGGGCCACCCGAUACUGCUGGACUUGAGUUCGGUAGGGGAGUGGGGAAUUCCUGGUGUAGCGGUGAAAUGCGCAGAUAUCAGGAGGAACACCGGUGGCGAAGGCGCCACUCUGGGCCGACACUGACGCUGAGGAGCGAAAGCGUGGGUAGCAAACAGG